UGCCACCAAAAGGUAUUUACAGGUUUGGC
Molecule: non-coding RNA, 29 nt
Filed under: Mus musculus (house mouse)
Lineage: Eukaryota; Metazoa; Chordata; Mammalia; Rodentia; Muridae
Source: RNAcentral